AAGCCUGCUCUGUCUCCACGGCGUGCCUCUAUGCUUGUUUCCUUUGGGGCUGAAAGCACUUUCUUUUAUCACUGAUGCUGCAGUUGAGUCUUCUUACAGGGAGAACCAGCAUGUCACACUUCAGCAUUAUCUGCACUACAAUUAUUGAUCUAUAUAUAAUAUAGAUAAUAUAACUAUCUGUACUCGUGCAAGCUCUCUCAUCCUUUUAAUUUCAGAUUUAUGUUAAAUUACACACAGCUUUAUGGGGUAGCUGCCUUCCAGAGCAUGUCAGCUGGAGAAUUGAAGGUGAAAGAUGAGAGCAUUAGCACCCAGCACUUUCUGUAAAUAUCAGGGUGCUAUUCAGUACCUCAGCAACUUUGCUCACUCUGCUGAUGGCAAAGAACUUCGGUGAGAACAGAGGAGUCUGAAGGGUUGUAAGUCUGGUACAAGGAGAACAUGGAAAGCUGUUUCAUUUGUCAAAAGACCACAGCUCAGGGAUCUGCAUAAAGCUGCGAUGUUUGGGCAGUCAGAAUUCAUUCUUGCAAUCAAACCCCUUAUAUUCUACAAGGACGUCCAUUUUAUGUCACUAUAAAGGAUCCUGAAAAGGAUUCCUCCCACACUUCCAAGCUUGCAAAUGGGAAAAGUGUAUUGAACCUGAGAGACAGUUUUGGGGUUGGUCAGUCUGUCUUUUGGCAGAGAGUAGCAAAGGAUAUAACUAUACAGAAUGACCAUAGAACAGAUAGAGGGGAGAUACUCUGGGAGCCCUUACUGACAUUUUCUUCUCCUCCCCCUUGGCUCAUUCUUUCAGGAUCUGUUCGUGGCAUUGCACAGGUUACUUCUGUUAGCUUUGCCAAUUUAACAGACCUGAUAGAACUGUGUGUUUCUGCAUGUCAAAAGUCAUGCUGUACAAAUUACUUCUAAAAUUCAACUCGUGUACCACACUGAAGUUGUGCCUUCAGUCCCACUGGAAACUGGGGGUAAAUCACAGCUCUACAGUCCAGCAGGGUGGAGUAGGAUGAAACCUUCCUUGGUUGUUGCCCUGAUUUCCAUCCCUAUCGGAAGGACUGGACGAGGGAGAAUUUCUGGUGACAGGGGAAGGCAAGAUUUCAGUAGGAGAUUCAUCUGUUAAUGCUGCAUCUUGCUGCAGGUUUUCAGUGGUCUUCAAACAGGUGUUUGUAUUGAAAUGUCGAAUCGGGAUCCCAGUCUCCUUUACGUCUGCAGAUUCUACUGCAUGAAAUGGAUAUGAUAUGAUAUGAAAUGAUGUGAGAGAAGGAAUACCUGAGGAAAGGAGCUAGCAAAGAUCUGUGUCCCGUUUUAUUAUUUUAUUAUACAACUUCAGCUCUUUGUGAUAAACUUUCUAUCUUUUUAACUUGCAUCACACUUAAAAGAGUCUUUCUCAUCUUUUGUGCUCUCUGGUCUAUUUCAAUAGAUUUUAUGACAAUCUGUCUAGAGAACAAUAGAUCUUUGUCCAACAGUUUCCAUGUUGAUCCUGACAUGCAUCAGUGUUUUCCAUCUCGCUCACAGUUGCCUUUGAACCUGCCUUGUAAUUUUGUCUGGUGCUGCUUCCAAUGUCAAAUGUGGCAUUUCUCCGUUGAAAACUGAUGCUUGGCAACUUGGAGACUAAUGAAUAUAUGUACAGAUAUUUUUCCUUCCAACUUUAAUGGUAAACCGAGGCUUGGAUCAGGCUAAAAUUUGAAUUCAUGAUGAAAUGCUAAAAAUGUGUACUCUUAUUUUCUGCCAAUACUUGGCUGAAGGAGUUUUUGCCCAUUAUGUGUCAUGUAAUGCAAUCAGCGUGGAAACAUCAUUUGUUGUUGUGAAUUUUGAGUAAGGUUUCUCACCCUCUGCUCAUGGUGGGUAAGAGUUCAGCUGUGCAGAGAAAAUCCUUGUACUCAGCUUUUCCAGCACGUAUUUUUGUGUAAGUAAAAUCGAACCAGUUUGUCUCAUGGCUCAAUUCUAAAGCUGCACUAAGCUCUUUGGAAAUGUGUGGCAUUUCACUGCUGUAGAGCAGUUCCUGAAGGCUCUGCCUGGUGGUUCCCAUUGGAUAGCAGUCCCCACUUGUUCUAGCACACAGCUGGCAUGGUUAAUGACUGGUAGCAUUUUAGAGCGUGAGUGAUUUUGACUGAUCACUGCAGGAAUAAGAAACUUGCCUAAGUUAAUCUGUUUUAAUCAUCUGCAGCAGCAGACACGUGCACACCACGUUGUCCUUCACGCUUGUUUCUCUUUUCUAAUUGUUCUUACGAUGCCUCACACGGUGAGACAGACUCUGUAAAGAACAGAUAAGGCGUAAAUUGUCGUACACAGUGCAGCUGGGGAUGUGAAGUGUAAGUAUAAAACUGAACAGACCGAGGAAACAGUGCAUAUGAGCAGAUAGAGGGCAUUAACCGAAUUUAUAACUGACCAGCCUUGUUUCUGUGACAGAAUGGAGUACCAGCAUUCCUUAGCCGUGUGAAGUUUGAUUGUGAACUCGUGUGCUGUUUUUCAGUGAGCAGUAACUCCUGUAUUUGAAUGCACAACAAGUACCUGCUGGCACUGCAGCCCUGUUCAAUGACAGAAUGGAGAAGCUGUGAUCUGCAGGAGCUCAGGUACGAGGAGCAGCACAUUACCAGGAGUGCAGCUUAGAAGUGCAUGAUCUGAAAGCACAGGAACAGGGGUUGUCAAGAAGCCAAAUCUACACUGAAUUAAAACCACGCUGCUUUGCUUCUGUGGAAGAGGGGAUACUUGGAUGCUGUAAAAAAAGUCACACUUCAAUUGAGCAUCAGUUCAUCACUGAAAUUACAAAGUGGAGCAGUUGUAGAGGCUGGAGCAAUGUGAUGCUGAGGUGAUCCAGAAGUCCUUCGUCUCUGCAGAGCAGCCCCAUCCCUGAGCAACCACCAGGCAGGUACGUUUUGAUGAGGUACAGAAGCAUGGAGACCCCUCAAAUUCAUGGGUGCCUCAGUUACCUAGGGCAGGUUGUCUGUGAGGUGAGAGUGCACAGAGACCAUAGUUGGAUAUCGUAUCUCUCUGGAAGAGUAGUUACCUUGGCAACUAUCAUAUUGUGUGAGGUUUGGUGUGAGGAUCUAUCACAGCAGAGAAGGCUGACAUAUGAGACAUAAUACUCCGUGCAUUUCUGAAGAUGGCAAGCAGGUGAUGGCACAAGCAUUUAUGCAGUUGGCAGUGUAAUGGCCGUGAGCUCGUUGCAGUAGCAGCCCUACACUCACAACUUAAAUUCCUCAUGUUAACGAAAAUGGAGAGCUGUGCAGUGGUACACAUUAUCAGCACUUUUUCUGCUGGAGUUCCUUGAGAGUGAAGGUGAAUAAAACCAUCCUGCUUACCUUACCACCUCCCACUUGUUUUGCCUAAAACGCCUCAUUGAAAUUCCUUAGCAGAGCAGGGCCGUACAGCUCCUGGAGGAUCCUCUUAGGUCUUGUUGGUAAGAGGUGGAUUUGCCUGAGCUGCUGGCUUCUUUUUCUUCAAAGAUCUCGGUAAGCUGUGUGAGUUCCCAAGGCACCCAUCCCACUGCCAGUCCAGGGGAGCACACAUGGCUCAGAAUAAUGGAGGCCCUUACUGAGGAUGUCAGGGCUCACAAUUCCUCUCCUCUUGUUCUUGUGAUGAUUCUACAAGGCGCUGGUAGGGCUUGUUAACAGAGCUGAUCAAUGAGACUUGUGUGGGAGGGUUGCUAAGAUCGAUUCUGCGAUUAAUCGAAGAAUCCUUCCGAUAUUGAUUUUUUUUUUAAGCAGCACAAACUGGAAGAAAAAAGAAAAAAGAAAAAGGAGUAUUCACCACUCUCAGUGUGUGUCACUGAGCCUUCCUGAAGGGCAGAGUCUGGAUGCAGCUGCGCCAGGCGUUUCAGGAGGUGCAGACCUUAGAGCCCCCUGAGCAAGGAAGCAGAGAUGGGGUUGCUCAGGGUGCUGGAUUCUGGCUUGAAUCUUAAAAAGAUUGCUCCCUCCUCGUUCCAUUUUAGUUUCCUGGUUUUGUCUUUCCAUAGCAAAUGUGGUUCCUCAAGCAUUGCAGAGUAUGGGUGCUUUUACUUGAUUUUGAAGUAUUUUAAGCCUGAUUCUCUUUCCACCAGCCUUGCUCUUUGUAGCAAUAACUGCAACAGAUUGGUGUCAAAUCACUGGAGUUUAGCUGGAAUGCUUUGUUUUCACUUCUGGAAAUGAAAAGAUAUGAAUGUGAGUGAAAUGAAUAGGUGGAGUUACUCAUUUUCUGUGUAAAUCAGUGGGAAGAACUCUGUCAGGUCAAGUCCAGCACAGACAAGAGGAGAGUGACUUCAAGGCGUGAAUGCUUAAAACCAUUUUACUAACAUGAAACCAAAAUCUGAUAAUGUUAGGGGAAUCAUUGAGUCACCAGGGUUGGAAAAGACCUCCAAGAUCUUCCAGUCCAACCAUCCACCUCCCACCAGUAUUUCCCACUAAGCCAUAUCCCUCAAUACAACAUCUAAGCAUUCCUUGGACACCUGCAGGGCUGCUCCCUGCGCAGCCUGUUCCAAUGCCUGAGCAUCUCUUGGAGAGGAAGUAUUUCCUAAUGUCCAACCUGCAUCAGAAUUAACAUCCCGUGGUGUUCCAGUGAGCACAGCAUAAGGUGGGUUUCUUGUUGUACAAGGAAAUCUAUUCAUUCACAACAAUACAAACCCACGUCAGUAUGCUUUUCAGCACACCCGCGGGGUUGCUCAUGUUCUCAGGACUGCUGCUUCCCACUGAAAGCUGCCAAGGCAGACUUCUAGCUGCAGCUUGCCAUGUGUGUUCACAAGGCCCGCCAGUCUGCCGCUGCCAUUUGAUUUAGGAUGCUAACAGCAAAGUGAGUUUUGUUGGAUGGAUUUGUAACUCCUGGUGCCGAGGAAGGAGAGACGAUGCCAGAUGUCAGCUGGAGGUGGGCAGACACCUCAGCUGUAAGCACAGGUAAGGUUUUACAGCUGCAGUCCUGCUUUCCAGCUUUGUUCUCACAGCUCUGGGCCUUCGGUGCUGCAGCCCACACAGGGCUGCCAUGCCGUGUGUCAGCCAGUGCCCUCCCACAGCCUGGGACCUCUGUACCUCCAGCUGUUCUGCACUGCAUGGUUUACCCCAGGUCCAGCCCAGAGCCUGGGUAAACCUUUGGGUGCCGUUUCCCACCUGCACUCCUCAGUUCUGUACUCUCUGUGAGACCAGCUGGCUGCGCCGUGCAAUUCAGUGCCUGGAAACAAUUGCACUGUCCCACCUCCUAACGCUGCCUUACAGGGAGCCUGCAGCGAGUUCUGCUUUGCCCAGCUCUUAAAAACAAGUGUACAAAGUUGCUAGCGUGGCCAAACUGAAAUGCAAUGUUUUAUCUUUCAGAAACACAAUCCUUUGUUCCUACUGACACCUCGUUCCAUUUUCCAGCUGUCUGAAAUAGGGCCUUUCUGCUGCAAGAGAUUUUCUUGCCGUAUCAGAGAUUCCCUCUCCCUCCAGGCUUUUUAUUUCUAAAACAGCAGGCUGGGAAUGCUCCUAUUGCAUCAUGCUGCACACAGGUGUGUGGAUCGGUGUUGGUGCAGGUAUCUCAUGCUGUGCUUCUGUGAAAGUGCUGCAGAUGUGUUGUGGGUUAUAACACACACUCAGUUGCACGGUGCAUCCUCCAAAAUUCCCACCAAGAACAACAGCACUGACAGCAAGAGAUGCACUGAUGAACUCACACGGAGCACUCACCAAGCAGAGGUGGUUUUGUUCCUAGGCACUAAAGGACGAUGACAAACGACAUGCUUGCUGCUAUAUUAAUAGGUUUCAUUUUGCCACAAAUCUCACAGCACGCUCUGCAGCUUGCCAUACCUUUGCCACACCAAACCAUCCUGCAGGACGUUGCUCACAUCACGUUCACAUGCUGUCCUUUCUGACAAAUCUGCCAGGCGAUGGAGCAGGACAGGGGUGUCAGGGCAGUACUGACCAGGAGGCACAGACUGCUUCAGUCGGGAGGAAUGGCUCUGUGACUGCUGUGUUGUAUCUGGCUGCUGGCUGUGGGAAUCUGUGUGUAAUUUGUUGUAGUUCACGUCUGCAUGCAGGUUACUAUUUUCUUUGUGCUUGUAACUGUGAUUACAGUGUUCAGACUCUGCAACUCUAGCACUGUACCCAGAGUAGGCAGUGUCACCUAUUGAGGUUGCCCGAGAGCUCCCACUAUAAAUCCCAAUUUCUAAUACAGCCGUGUGUCUCUGCAGCAGUCCCUGUGCAGACUUGUUGCUGGUUCACACUUGCUGGCACUUCACAAAGACGCAGGUGAGCUGGAAGGUGCUUUCCCCAUCAUUGCUUGCAGCCUGUCUCAUUGUCAUCUUCAGUCUGACAUACCUGAUUGUUUUUGCUGGGCUGCAGUGUGCAGAAAUGACCGUGGCAAUAAUUCUGCCACUCUCCUUAAACUUUCCAGAUGCCAUUGAUGGACUUUUCACUGCUGGGCAGAAGGCAUUUGAAUGAUUGUUUGUUGUGAAGUACCUUCUGCAGAGACUGCCUGCAGGUUUGGGAGGCAGCUGGAUGGCAUCAUGCAUAGUAAUCUGAUGACCUUUUCUCCUUGGGGCCAUUUCCUCCCAUCUCAAACAGCUUGGCAAUACUAAGAAAGUAUCCGACGGUUCAAUACAGCUGUGUAAUAGAAGUUUUUCUCAUUACAUUUCACACAUUGACUGAUUUUAUCUCAAGAGUAAUCACAGCAGCUAGAAAUGACGGGAAGCCUCAGAAGAGAGUUGGAUUAAUACCUGAAGGCAGUUUCCUCUGGAAGUGAGCUUUCCUUUGAGGCGUGGAGCAGCGCUGCUGCUGUGGCUGCUGCACUGGGGCUGCAGGAAAGUCCCUCUGUGCAGACAAGGCUCGUUCUGGGAACAUGCAAAGAACACAGAGCUUUCUCUGUGCAUCUUUUUUGUCCUCGAGGAUGGUGGGAAAUCCUUUAUCACGCAUAGUAAUUGUCUUGAUGUCCAAUAAAGAGAGUAAUGACAAACACUUCCUUGCCAGACGGUGAGAAUUGCAUGCAGACAGCUGGGUUACUUUCCAGCUUUGCAGGAGCAUAUCUGCCCAACAAGCACGGCGUACAUUCGGAGAUACCCGAGCACGCAGGGCUGACACUUGCUUUUCAGAAGUGCCCUUCUGGCAGGCACUCGAAUGCUCAGACACCAUGUGAAAUGUACACAGGACAUCAGUGGGACGAGCUGCAUAACUCACACCUCCAACACAUCUCUUUUCACUUGCAGUAUUUGUAACUAGCAGUGAUUUCCUAUUGCGCACUUUUGCUUUAGGAAUGACUUUUAAAAUACCAAUUAUUUGUUCCAUAGGGACUUUUUCCCCUGCUUCUGCUUGCCCUCUGAGUACAUGAAGGAGGCUGAUGUCAGUGGCAGCUUUUAUGGCCCUGAAUGCACAGCAGCUCGACCUAUUCUACUUUUGCUCCUUCAGUCAGCAUGACUUUCAGAGCUCUUCAUUUUAUCUUAUAUGGCUAUUUUAAUGAAUUCAUUGGGGACAUUGCAGUGGCAAUGCUCAGUCACAGCCUGACACAGUGGUGGAGCACCUGGUGGGAAGGCAGGCCAACCCAGGGGAGCUCAGGUGCAAGCAAUGGUGAGCGAUGAAGGGGUGGAGGCAGGAUGCACCCCUUGCCAGCUCUCAUUUAGGGGUUGGCAGUGGAGGUGAGGGUAUCUCUUGCUGGAGGUUUCUGCUUAUGUGAGGCCUUCUAAAGGUAAGCAGCUUUUUUCCUUCAUUUUGUGUCUGUGGCUGCUGCAUUUGGGCUUGUUCUCAUUUGCUGUAGCCAAAGGCUUUGCCACACUGCUAUUAUCAUCCUAUUAUAGUGUUACAGGCAUUAAUAAUAGUUAAGGGGAUUUAAAUCCAUGGUGAUGCUGGGCAGGCUGCAGGGAUGUGCAGAUGUCAUCUCCCCUGUAUUCCUGGAGGAGUUUUGGAUGCUCAGUAGCAGUGAUGCCAGUCUGGAGCAUGCACCCAGAGCAUCUGUUUGGAGUUAAUGUAGUUCCCCCACAUCUUGCAAGGCACAGAGCUGGGAGAAAACAAGGGUGCCUGAGUGCUCAUCUGCUGCCCUGCUCUUAGCUGCUGCUAGAUACAGCUCAUGACUUGAUACCAGUUCUUUGUAAAAGAGCCCUAUGCCAUGCCAUGCAGGGCCUCGUGCUGCAGCUGCUGACUGAUGCAUGACACCACUGCUGUGAGGUGGUUGUGUUUGCUCACUCAGGUCAGGGUGUCUCAAAGCAGCACGAGUUCCACGAGUUCCACGUCGGUGCCCAGAGGCAGCUGCUGUUUUACAUCAUGACAAUGUCAAUUAUCACUGAUGGCACUCCUGUAAGGAGUAAAAUGGCAUUGACAAAAGAUGCAAUUACUUGGCUGUUUGCUUCCUUAGUCCUCUGCUCCUGUCAGCAUCUGGCUGUUUCUUUGGUGAUGCCUUUAAACCACGCGUGUGACAGCUGCACUGCAUUGCAAGACACAGCUUUCCCCACUUGGAUGUGCGUGACGAGAUGUGCUGUUGCAGGGAUGUUCCGGCUCUCGUAACUCUGCUGGAGAAGCUAAAUAGAGGGUUGUGUUCUUUCCACUGGAGGUGCAACGUUGAUCUCAGCCCCCAUCUCUCAGAUAGCUGGAGUGUCAAGCACUGGGUAGAAUUGCUGUGAGUGCGCUGGCUCUUGCUGUGCUCCUGGCCAUGCCUCUGCUUCAUGUCCAAGUGCUCAGGCAUUUGGAGCUGGCUGCUGCAUCAGCCCAGCUCUCAGAGGUCCCCCCCCAGCAGCUGCUGCCUGGGGCUGCUCGCAGGAGCUGAGGGCACAGCCGGUGCUGGCAGAGGCUGAUGGUCUGUCCAGAGCAAAUUGUUCUCCACCAUCACAGCCAUCUGAUGUGUCCUUAGAAUGAUAUCUGCUCUUGGGAGACAAAACUAACAGCAAACAACAGCAACAAAAACUUUUGUGAUCAGCUUCUAAGUGAGAACAUGCGCUAAUGAUGAUUUUGGGUGCAUCCCAUCUUGUCUCUGGAAAGCACUGAAAUAACUGCUGUGUUUUUGCAUUGGAAACAGUGAUGUUGCUGAAUGAUAGCUAUUCUUUGUGACUCUCUCAAUUUCUUUAAACUGACAGCUUAAGAAAAAGCAGAAGAAUCUGGUAGUGAAGCUGGAACUUCUUGUUUUGAUCAUUUUGUAAUAGCAGACUUGGGGAAUUCAUUCCAGGACAAGUUUAUAGCCUACAUUCAUGUUCUGACAUUGUCAACAUGAGUGGAAAUACCACCCCUCCCAGCCCCUCAAGAUUUUAAAUAUCAUGGGAAAUGUUUUUAUCCUUUGGAUCUGUGGCAAAGUCUGCAUGUUUUAACCUUGCAGCCUGUGCUGUUCAGCCACAGGUCGUGUGCUGCUGUCCCAGCAGCUGGGGCUGGGUCCCUGCAGUCAGUUUGCACGUGGGGUGGAGGUUUGCUGAGGCUGUGCAGUUGGGUGCCAGGCAAUCAUUUGCAGAGCCCUCACACCUUUGUAUUGUCCCAGUCUGAUAUCUAUAGCACUGUUCUACUAAGCCAAAAGGCUUUAUUGUGACAAGUGCCCUGUGUCAUUCCUUCCACUGUCGCAUGCUCCAUUCGGCAUUCCCUCAUGUAUGAAUGACACAGGGGAGGGAUUGUGUACUGCACUGUGAUACCACUUGCGUCUCCUCCUUUGUUCCUAGGCAUGUCAUUACAUAUGGAUUUGGACCUUAACAAACCAUUUUGUUGCUUUAGGUUACACUUGCUCCUGCCUCAGCCUACCUACAUGUUUUAGCUUAGAUUUUGGCAAGGCCUCUGUCUGGCCAGCUGGUUUUUGUGUUUGGGACCAUCCUGUCUUUUCUCUUGAGUUACUGUGAACCCUUCCUUCUUCCUGACUGCACUUACAGUAACAGGGAUGGAUGAAUUUAUCAGAUGUUUAUGUAUUCACACAAUUAAAACGCAGAUUUUGGUUUGUUACUUUCAUCUCAUGGCUUCCCUUACCAGGAUGCAGGCAUGUAGACACACAUACAUGGUAGUGGAGGGUUUGAUGCAAAGGGCAAUUUUGAUGUAAGCAUAGCAGGGUAAGCCAUCUGUUGAUUGGCCUUUGUCAGCCAAAUUGUGCUACCAGCUGGCAUAGUGAAUAUGCAUGCAGCACUCUGCAGGACCAAACUCGUAAAUUCAGAUUGCCUUACGUGAGCUUAUAUGUGCAGUUCAGCUCCACAAAAAAGAAAAGAAGAAAUUGCAUGCAUUGCUUAUGCAACAAAAUGUUGCUUGUUUAUAGUGGCACUUACAAGUUGCAGGGGAAGCUGAUAUCCUCCUCAAUUAUGAGGGCUGAAAACCUAAUUAAAAUGUGUUAUAGCAUCAAGUGAUGCAUUUCUGCCCCCAUUGCUCCUUUUUAACACAGGUAAUUGGCUGCAGAAGCAAUCACUGUUCUUGUAAUACGAAGCAGCAAAAUGCUGCGUAAACCUUGGUGAGAGGAAUGUGAGAAAGCACUCUGUAGCAAACCCCAUUGUGGAUCUUGGGAAGGCUUUGGAUGCUGUGCCAAGGCAGAACCCACCUUCAACAAAUGUGGCAUCAGAAGCAGACAGCAGUGUUUCUUAAAGCCAAAGGUGACGAUGGCUGUGAACAAGCCAUAGGCCAUGUCAGCACUGCAGUGAGAUCACCUUUCCUCUCACCUUGGAAUAACCUACAGCUCUGCUCCUUUUGUCAUCUGAUGAGUUCACACGGACAGUGAAUUUACAUUAAGCAACAGCAAAAUUGCUGUUUUAAGUUGAAGGAGGGAAGAUUUGGGCUGGGUGUUGGGGAAGUACUUUACUAUGAGAGUGGUGAGGAGCUGGAACAGCUGCCCAGAGAGGCUGUGGAUGCCCC
This is a non-coding RNA of Phasianus colchicus (ring-necked pheasant), 10712 nucleotides long. Lineage: Eukaryota; Metazoa; Chordata; Aves; Galliformes; Phasianidae. The record is from RefSeq and is a predicted model, not a curated record.